GAAUUGGGGAUAACGUUGCGAAAGCGACGCUAAUACCGAAUAACAUCCUUAGAACCUCGGUUUUUAGGAUCAAAGGUGGCCUCUACAUGUAAGCUACUGUUUGAAGAUGAGCCCGCGUACCAUUAGCUUGUUGGCAGGGUAAUGGCCUACCAAGGCAACGAUGGUUAGCUGGUCUGAGAGGAUGAUCAGCCACACUGGAACUGACACACGGUCCAGACUCCUACGGGAGGCAGCAGUGAGGAAUUUUGCGCAAUGGGGGAAACCCUGACGCAGCAACGCCGCGUGAGUGAUGAAGGCUUUCGGGUCGUAAAGCUCUGUCAAGUGGGAAGAACCUGCAGUAUGUUAAUAUCAUAUUGCACUGACGGUACCACUGAAGGAAGCACCGGCUAACUCCGUGCCAGCAGCCGCGGUAAUACGGGGGGUGCAAGCGUUAUUCGGAAUCAUUGGGCGUAAAGGGCGCGUAGGCGGCCUCUUAAGUCAGAUGUGAAAGCCCGGGGCUCAACCCCGGAAGUGCAUUUGAAACUAAGGGACUUGAGUAUGGGAGAGGGAAGUGGAAUUCCUGGUGUAGAGGUGAAAUUCGUAGAUAUCAGGAGGAACACCGGUGGCGAAGGCGACUUCCUGGACCAAUACUGACGCUAAGGCGCGAAGGCGUGGGGAGCAAACAGGAUUAGAUACCCUGGUAGUCCACGCAGUAAACGGUGAACACUAGGUGUAGCGGGUAUUGACCCCUGCUGUGCCGCAGCUAACGCAUUAAGUGUUCCGCCUGGGGAGUACGGUCGCAAGAUUAAAACUCAAAGGAAUUUUNAG
RNAcentral lists this ribosomal RNA (807 nucleotides) under uncultured Desulfosarcina sp. Its description in RNAcentral is "bacterial SSU rRNA". It matches the Rfam family "Bacterial small subunit ribosomal RNA", at positions 134 to 916 of the family's 1533-position model. The record is from RNAcentral. Lineage: Bacteria; Pseudomonadati; Thermodesulfobacteriota; Desulfobacteria; Desulfobacterales; Desulfosarcinaceae.